UACAGAGGGUGCGAGCGUUAAUCGGAAUUACUGGGCGUAAAGCGUGCGCAGGCGGUUGGGCAAGACAGAUGUGAAAUCCCCGGGCUUAACCUGGGAACUGCGUUUGAAACUACAAGGCUAGAGUGUGGCAGAGGGGGGUGGAAUUCCACGUGUAGCAGUGAAAUGCGUAGAGAUGUGGAGGAACACCGAUGGCGAAGGCAGCCCCCUGGGUUAACACUGACGCUCAGGCACGAAAGCGUGGGGAGCAAACAGG
Molecule: ribosomal RNA, 253 nt
Filed under: uncultured bacterium
Lineage: Bacteria
Description: partial 16S ribosomal RNA
Rfam family: Bacterial small subunit ribosomal RNA
Source: RNAcentral